GAGAUGACAGAGCGAGGCUGAAGCUCUGCGUGGAGGAGGGUUUCAGGCUUUGACCUGAGCCAUGAUUUGAGCAGAAGGAGUCUAUUAGACAGAAGGGAGAGAUGUGCUGUAGUUGUUGCUUUUCUGUCUGGAGUGCCCACCUCUGAAUUCCUAUUGGUGGGUUAAGUCAGGGUCUCUUUCACCAUCGAUGUCAAGUUCAGUUCCCACAGACUGAGCACCUCCCACAAGGUCCGUGCUCCUGCGAGUCCUCAUUUGUAGGGACCACUCUCCCUAUUGUACAGAGGGAGAAACUGAGAAACCGCAACUCCUCCAGGAUCCAAGAGCUGGCCUUCGAAAACUUGGAAGUGGAAAAGAAGAGGCUUCAUAGAUAUCUUUGAGAACAAGUGCGGGACACAGUGUGAGCGGAGGAGGCCAGUCAAAGACAGGCCACUGUGUGCCUCCGCCGGCCGGCAUCCUGCCGCUUCACCUCCACUGUGUGCACCCAGUUCAAGCCCAGCACAGGCAAACGCCCCUCCACGUGAAGACGCACACGGGCAGAGCUAGCAAACAGCCACGAGCUCUGGCGCCAGGGAGCGAGGACUUCUGAGCUGGUCGCCUUCCUUCUUGCAAUCUCAUGAGGGCCCCACAGCAAAUAACCGUGCUUCCUUGUGUUUACGGGCUUCCCUGGUGACUCAGUGGUCCCCACAGCCUCCUGAGGAAUUUAUUCCAUCUGUACCAGCCAUUCCCUGCUGCUGCUGCCCAGCCAGGCCUGGAUACAGCUCCAGAACACUGGGCACCUCCAUUUCCUGGCAGUUGUUUCUGCCACAACCUUCAGGGUGGUGCUGGCCCUUCCCAGGGGCUGCUGCCAACAUUCCCAGCACUGCAAACUCUCUAGGAG
Bos taurus (domestic cattle) is the source of this 877-nucleotide long non-coding RNA. NCBI's taxonomy places the organism in Eukaryota, Metazoa, Chordata, Mammalia, Artiodactyla, Bovidae. The record is from Ensembl.